This 433-nucleotide ribosomal RNA is filed under the name uncultured bacterium. Its description in RNAcentral is "partial 16S ribosomal RNA". It matches the Rfam family "Bacterial small subunit ribosomal RNA", at positions 29 to 507 of the family's 1533-position model. The record is from RNAcentral.
AACGAACGCUGGCGGCAGGCCUAACACAUGCAAGUCGAGCGAGACCUUCGGGUCUAGCGGCGGACGGGUGAGUAACGCGUGGGAACGUGCCCUUUUCUACGGAAUAGCCUCGGGAAACUGAGCGUAAUACCGUAUACGUCCUUUGGGGGAAAGAUUUAUCGGAGAAGGAUCGGCCCGCGUUGGAUUAGGUAGUUGGUGGGGUAAUGGCCUACCAAGCCUACGAUCCAUAGCUGGUUUGAGAGGAUGAUCAGCCACACUGGGACUGAGACACGGCCCAGACUCCUACGGGAGGCAGCAGUGGGGAAUCUUAGACAAUGGGGGCAACCCUGAUCUAGCCAUGCCGCGUGAGUGAUGAAGGCCUUAGGGUUGUAAAGCUCUUUCAGCUGGGAAGAUAAUGACGGUACCAGCAGAAGAAGCCCCGGCUAACUCCGUG